This 354-nucleotide unclassified non-coding RNA is filed under the name soil metagenome. RNAcentral's name for it is "partial contains 5.8S ribosomal RNA, internal transcribed spacer 2, and large subunit ribosomal RNA". The stretch from base 1 to 120 matches the Rfam family "5.8S ribosomal RNA", at positions 35 to 154 of the family's 154-position model. The record is from RNAcentral.
GAUGAAGAACGUAGCGAAAUGCGAUAAGUAAUGUGAAUUGCAGAAUUCCGUGAAUCAUCGAAUCUUUGAACGCACAUUGCGCCCCCUGGCAUUCCGGGGGGCAUGCCUGUCCGAGCGUCAUUUCUGCCCUCCAGCCCGGCUGGGUGUUGGGCGCUGUCCCCACGGGGACACGCCCCAAAGGCAGUGGCGGCGCCGCGUCGGGUCCUCGAGCGUAUGGGGCUUUGUCACCCGCUCGGGACGGACUCGUCGGCGCUGGUCUUCCUCCAGGCGACCCUUCGGGGCUCGUCUUCCUUCGGUUGACCUCGGAUCAGGUAGGGUUACCCGCUGAACUUAAGCAUAUCAAUAAGCGGAGGA